GAUGAACGCUGGCGGCGUGCCUAAUACAUGCAAGUCGAGCGAACAGACGAGGAGCUUGCUCCUCUGACGUUAGCGGCGGACGGGUGAGUAACACGUGGAUAACCUACCUAUAAGACUGGGAUAACUUCGGGAAACCGGAGCUAAUACCGGAUAACAUGUUGAACCGCAUGGUUCAACAGUGAAAGACGGUCUUGCUGUCACUUAUAGAUGGAUCCGCGCCGCAUUAGCUAGUUGGUAAGGUAACGGCUUACCAAGGCAACGAUGCGUAGCCGACCUGAGAGGGGGAUCGGCCACACUGGAACUGAGACACGGUCCAGACUCCUACGGGAGGCAGCAGUAGGGAAUCUUCCGCAAUGGGCGAAAGCCUGACGGAGCAACGCCGCGUGAGUGAUGAAGGUCUUCGGAUCGUAAAACUCUGUUAUUAGGGAAGAACAAAUGUGUAAGUAACUAUGCACGUCUUGACGGUACCUAAUCAGAAAGCCACGGCUAACUACGUG
This 497-nucleotide ribosomal RNA is filed under the name uncultured bacterium. RNAcentral's name for it is "partial 16S ribosomal RNA". It matches the Rfam family "Bacterial small subunit ribosomal RNA", at positions 28 to 507 of the family's 1533-position model. The record is from RNAcentral.